Molecule: long non-coding RNA, 589 nt
Organism: Bombyx mori (domestic silkworm)
Lineage: Eukaryota; Metazoa; Arthropoda; Insecta; Lepidoptera; Bombycidae
Exons: 2
Source: RefSeq, a predicted model, not a curated record
UUAACAUGAAUCAAUUUAUGUUUCGGUUAUUUAUAAACGUUGUUUGUUACGACAUGAACAAAGAGUUUGGGAGUAUUGUAUAACCAUAAAGACCUACACGUGUACAAAUGGAACUGUAACCACACAUUACAAUUGGUAUUUUUAUUUCUACAUAUGAAUAAAUGAGUUUUUAAUCCACUAUUUUUAUGUGGUUAUUAAAACCCAUAGACACCACAACACGAAUGCCACUUUAAGACAUUAGUUCAAAGUCAUUAUUGUUAUAACAUUUAUUUACACCUUUCAAACCAGAAUGUAAAAUUGUUUCAAGACAAAGUGGUAGUCCAUGUCGUUUGGGUUCACAAAACUCCGCGAUGAAUAACAAACGCAGUUUCCAAUGAGUUUUGUUAACCUCCUCGCAAGACGGGAGCGCCACUUCUCAAUUAUUCACGCACACUCUGACUUUCUGGUCCCGGUUCUUUCAUGCAGGACAAAAGCCUACUAUUUAGGUCGUGGUAACAACGGAAUGAUUGCAGAGGACGUGGAAAUGUAUACCAGAGAAUUUAAUAUUAGAUAACCUAUAAUAUUAUUAAAAGACGAUUUUACGGCUUAA